GAUGAACGCUGGCGGCGUGCCUAAUACAUGCAAGUCGAGCGAACGGACGAGAAGCUUGCUUUUCUGAUGUUAGCGGCGGACGGGUGAGUAACACGUGGAUAACCUACCUAUAAGACUGGGAUAACUUCGGGAAACCGGAGCUAAUACCGGAUAAUAUUUUGAACCGCAUGGUUCAAAAGUGAAAGACGGUCUUGCUGUCACUUAUAGAUGGAUCCGCGCUGCAUUAGCUAGUUGGUAAGGUAACGGCUUACCAAGGCAACGAUGCAUAGCCGACCUGAGAGGGUGAUCGGCCACACUGGAACUGAGACACGGUCCAGACUCCUACGGGAGACAGCAGUAGGGAAUCUUCCGCAAUGGGCGAAAGCCUGACGGAGCAACGCCGCGUGAGUGAUGAAGGUCUUCGGAUCGUAAAACUCUGUUAUUAGGGAAGAACAUAUGUGUAAGUAACUGUGCACAUCUUGACGGUACCUAAUCAGAAAGCCACGGCUAACUACGUG
This 497-nucleotide ribosomal RNA is filed under the name uncultured bacterium. RNAcentral's name for it is "partial 16S ribosomal RNA". It matches the Rfam family "Bacterial small subunit ribosomal RNA", at positions 28 to 507 of the family's 1533-position model. The record is from RNAcentral.